Molecule: long non-coding RNA, 452 nt
Filed under: Anas platyrhynchos platyrhynchos (common mallard)
Lineage: Eukaryota; Metazoa; Chordata; Aves; Anseriformes; Anatidae
Description: lncRNA (ENSAPLG00000017458.1)
Source: RNAcentral
GUGCCCUCCAGUGCCCUUCUGGACUGUCAUUACUGUUGUUCCUGUUUAUAAAAGCAUUUUCUGGCAAAGCAUGAGUGUCCAGCUUGAGCUGUGGGAGCUGCCAGACUACCUCUGCCCAUGGAUCAUUGUGCAGCCUUGGGCAAGUCCUGAGGAAGCCAGUCACAAAUACUAGGAGGAACUAAGGCAGCUCUGCUUUCUCCACCAUCAACAGCAGUGCAGUCUUUUGCUGAGAGCUCAGAUGUGCAAUUAAAGCUAAUGUGAACUUCGCUGAGGCAGUUAUGUUUUUCUAGGGUUAGUAUUUUUCAGAUCCCCUGAACUAUCCUGGAGGUUAUAACUAACAUAAUAUGAAACCUGGAAAAGCUGCUGAUAUAGAAAAUUCUAACAGCGUUCCUCAAGACAGGACACAGCACCCAUAUGUGACAAGCAUGAUCAGGAGCCUGAGUCAAUUAUGA